ACGUUUUCUUUGUUUAUAGUCAAACCAAAUAUGGCUAAGCUGUGAAGGGGAAUAUGAUGCAGAUAAGGAGCACUUGCAUAACGCAACGUUUGGCUACUAUCCCCCUAGUGGCGGAUUUCCAUCUUACUAUUAUCCCUACAAUCACACGAAAAAUGAGUAUUUGAGUCCAAUAAUUGCUGUUCAUAUAAAAAACGCGCCAGGUGGAGUUAUGAUAAACAUUGAAUGUCGAGCGUGGGCUAAGAAUCUUGUUUAUGUCGGAGGUUCGCCUCACAAAAGGAAAGGGUCCGUCCACUUUGAACUUAU
Molecule: long non-coding RNA, 303 nt
Organism: Photinus pyralis (common eastern firefly)
Lineage: Eukaryota; Metazoa; Arthropoda; Insecta; Coleoptera; Lampyridae
Exons: 2
Source: RefSeq, a predicted model, not a curated record